This 1332-nucleotide long non-coding RNA is filed under the name Marmota monax (woodchuck). Lineage: Eukaryota; Metazoa; Chordata; Mammalia; Rodentia; Sciuridae. The record is from RNAcentral.
UUUCUCUCUAUGAGGAAAUAUGUGCUUCCCUCCCCCCAGCCAAUUCAGACUACGUAAAACAGAUGGAGGAUUAUUUUCUCUCAUAACAGAAUGUCUGAGAGACAUAACUGAUAAAUUUAGUUAUCUGCUAUUUUCUCCCAUAGUCAUAAGAUGGCUGUCCCUGUUCAGGGCUGGAAAAGGACCAAUGUCAAGGGCACGGGUCUCUUUUUAUUAGGGAUGUCACUUUUUUUUUUUUCAUUGAUCUAUUUUUCUGUUCUUUCACCAUUACCAUUCUGUCUUUCCAGCUUUAUAAUUCACCUUGAGGUCGACUAGUGUUAAGCCUCCCGUUCUCCACUUUGUUUUAGGAAGCAUAACAGCAGAACUAUAGAUGUGCAUUAGUCAUCUUAUGGUGUCAGCCAUGAGUGUAGAUGUCAAGAAACCUUGCUUUGUGGAGGUCCAGGGCAUCGAUGAGUCAGCAGCAGGGGGCUUGCCGUAAAGGAUAUCAAUAGCCCAAACAACAAAACAAAAAACCCAAACUCAAAAACUAUAACCAACACUUGCCAGCUAGAAAAUCUUUGUUCCUUUUCUCUUACUCUCCUUGACCUUUGUUCCUUUUCUCACCACAGGGAACAUGGAAGAUGGAAGGGGCAAAAGAUGAAGAAAGAUUGGAAAACUUCAUCUACUUUUCCCCCCACUGAAAGUUUCUGUGACUAAGCACUUUGUAGCUACUUGGGAGGAUGAGGCAGGAAGAUUGCAAUGUGGAGGCCAGCCUGGGCAAGUCAGUGAGGCCCUAAUUCAAAAACAAACAAACAACAACAACAAAAAACAACAAAACAAAACAACAACAUCAACAACAACAACAAACAAAGGAGAAGAGCUGGGGAUGUAGUUCAAUGGUAGAACACUUGUCCAGUAGCACAAACCAAAGCAAACUAAAAUAAAACAAAACAAAAAAGAAAGUCUUUAAAGAGAUAUACAAGUAGCUGGUAGGAAGGGAGAAGUUCCAAAUCAGAUGGAAGAUUGACAUUUUAACUAUGUUGAAUGUUUUUUUUUUCUCCUUUUAAAAUAUCUUAAGUGAUAACAAAGCAAUGAGAUCUGCUGAUAAUGUUAAAAGGACAGGAUGACCUUAUCAAUUAUUACCAAGUUGUCUUCCUAGCUCUCAUCUGCUGGAAGGACUUUUCCUUGCUAUAGGGAAGCUGGAUGUGUCAGGAAAUUUUAGAAGUAUUUCUAAAAUUUUACAAGGAAAAUUUUAGAAGUAUUUAGGUUUGUUGAAAAGGAGAAAAUUCAGUAGGUGUACUUAGGCUAGACUGAUUGUAACAUAAUAAAUAAAUUAUAGUCUGUUGUUGACUGUGU